AAAAACGGGGCCCCGGAAAAGCCUGUUUAGGCUACCCAUUUAAGUGAGGAAAAGUUAUUUUUCUUUUCCUUUUUCUUUUUAUUUAUUUCCUUCCUCUCCCCGCUGAACCCGUGCGUGCCCUAACCCCCUUCGACACCAUUUCUCCUCCCUUUUCUCUCGCGAGUGUUUUCUCUUCUUCUCCACUCUCCCUCUACCGACUCUUCCUUUUCCCCCUUCUUCCCUACUCCUCUGCCCGUCGCCCUCGCUGUGGAGACUGCCACAGCCGACGCUCCCCUUUCCCCAAGUGUCGGCGACGAUCUGCCAUCGCUGACCUACAUCGCCAGUGACGCCAAGCACCCCUACACCGCACCGCUGCCGCACGGAGGUGUCGCCGGCAUUCCCCUGUGCCCUAGCACCAGCAGACGGCCGCUCUCUCUCUGCUGCGAUUUGGCAGCACCACUGACACCCGAUUUCAUCUUCCUCCUCAGCCCUAGUGUCGGCUGCUACCUCUUUUUCCCUAGCCGACGCCACCACUGAUUGCUGGAGGGGGGAAAGGUUAUCCGGACUUCAAGGUUUCUGCCGAGCCCUAGCUUGGUCUUCACUGUCGUGCCCUAGGUUUCCCCCUUUCAGGUGAGUGAGGUUUGGUAUCAACGGGAUUAAGUUGUUGUUGGAGCUGAGGAAUCUGAUCAUUAUUCAUACACUUAGGACUUUGACGCGAGACGGGUAUCUCGACGUCAUGUUUGGACCAAAUUGGACUUGUCGAUU
This is a long non-coding RNA of Zingiber officinale, 744 nucleotides long. RefSeq lists it as uncharacterized. The record is from RefSeq and is a predicted model, not a curated record. NCBI's taxonomy places the organism in Eukaryota, Viridiplantae, Streptophyta, Magnoliopsida, Zingiberales, Zingiberaceae. The transcript has 3 exons.